RNAcentral lists this transfer RNA (77 nucleotides) under Candidatus Babelota bacterium. Its description in RNAcentral is "tRNA-Arg". It matches the Rfam family "tRNA". Rfam says of the family: Transfer RNA (tRNA) molecules are approximately 80 nucleotides in length. Their secondary structure includes four short double-helical elements and three loops (D, anti-codon, and T loops). The record is from RNAcentral.
GCGCCCGUAGCUCAAUUGGAUAGAGUCGCGGACUUCGAAUCCGAAGGUUGCAGGUUCAAAUCCUGCCGGGCGCACCA